RNAcentral lists this transfer RNA (71 nucleotides) under Elusimicrobia bacterium GWA2_51_34. RNAcentral's name for it is "tRNA-Gln". It matches the Rfam family "tRNA". Rfam says of the family: Transfer RNA (tRNA) molecules are approximately 80 nucleotides in length. The record is from RNAcentral. Lineage: Bacteria; Pseudomonadati; Elusimicrobiota. RNAcentral also lists the same sequence under 3 other names.
UCCCGGGUAGUGUAAUGGUAACACACCGCCCUUUGAAGGCGUUAUUCAUGGUUCGAGUCCAUGCCCGGGAG